CGACUCUCGGCAACGGGAUAUCUCGGCUCACG
RNAcentral lists this ribosomal RNA (32 nucleotides) under Eutrochium fistulosum. RNAcentral's name for it is "5.8S rRNA". Lineage: Eukaryota; Viridiplantae; Streptophyta; Magnoliopsida; Asterales; Asteraceae. The record is from RNAcentral.